GGGGGUGUAUAAAGUGGCGAACGGGUGAGUAACAGGUGGGUAAUCUGCCUUUCGGUGGGGGACAACGGCUGGAAACGGCCGCUAAUACCGCAUGUGAUUGCUUUGUCAUAAGACUAGGCAAGGAAAGACGCGUUUGCGUCGCCGAAAGAUGAGCCCGCCCCCCAUUAGCUUGUUGGUGUGAUAACAGCGCACCAAGGCUUCGAUGGGUAGCCGAGCUGAGAGGUUGAUCGGCCACACUGGAACUGAGAUACGGUCCAGACACCUACGGGUGGCAGCAGUAGGGAAUAUUGCGCAAUGGGCGAAAGCCUGACGCAGCCAUGCCGCGUGGAUGAUGAAGGCCUUCGGGUCGUAAAGUCCUUUUCUGAGGGAAGAACAAGUGGGGAAGGAAAUGUCCCCGCCCUGACGGUACCUCAGGAAUAAGCAACGGCAAACUCCGUGCCAGCAGCCGCGGUAAUACGGAGGUUGCAAGCGUUGUUCGGAUUUACUGGGCGUAAAGGGAGCGCAGGUGGCUAGGU
RNAcentral lists this ribosomal RNA (515 nucleotides) under uncultured bacterium. RNAcentral's name for it is "bacterial SSU rRNA". It matches the Rfam family "Bacterial small subunit ribosomal RNA", at positions 82 to 584 of the family's 1533-position model. The record is from RNAcentral.